UACGUAGGGACCGAGCGUUGUCCGGAUUCAUUGGGCGUAAAGGGCGCGUAGGCGGCCUCUUAAGUCGAACGUGAAAUCCCCGGGCUCAACCCGGGAACUGCGUCCGAUACUGGGGGGCUUGAAUCCGGGAGAGGGAUGUGGAAUUCCAGGUGUAGCGGUGAAAUGCGUAGAUAUCUGGAGGAACACCGGUGGCGAAGGCGACAUCCUGGACCGGUAUUGACGCUGAGGCGCGAAAGCGUGAGGAGCAAACAGG
RNAcentral lists this ribosomal RNA (253 nucleotides) under uncultured bacterium. Its description in RNAcentral is "partial 16S ribosomal RNA". It matches the Rfam family "Bacterial small subunit ribosomal RNA", at positions 524 to 776 of the family's 1533-position model. The record is from RNAcentral.